AAUUUUGGAGUUUUCUACAGGGUUUUUAAUUUUUAGUGUGUAAAAUAUUUUGUUCGUUUUGUUUUGUUUGUGCAAGUAUGUUUUCUACGAAUGAUGUUUGAGUACAUGGUGUGUUAUUUGUAUUGGUAAUAGAUUUAAUAUGUAUGGGUAUGCUUUUGAUUAAUGUGUAAUACAUUAGGAAAUUGCUUGAAGGUAUUCCGUAUAUGUAACAUAUAUUAUCAAAAGAAUAAAAGUCCUUAAUCCUGUAAUCGUACAAUUGUUCGACAUAUUAAAUGUUUCGUUCAAACCAAUGUUAAUAUAAAAAAACGUCUUAUUGUUUGAAGAUAUGUCUUUAUUGUUCCAUGAAAUAGUUUUACUGCUGGUUUUGGUUUAUAGAUAAUGAGUAACAUUACUCCAUGCCGGUAGAACACUAGAUAGAAAUAUGUUUUCGUUUGCAAUUUCAUGUAAAAUAUUCAAAAAGUAAGAAAUCACCAUAUUUUUUAGAAUUUUCUGGUCGAAUAAUUUCGAUUUACUCGUAUUGGUAUUAUCUAGGUAAAUUUUAACCCAGCUGCAUUUGAUUGCAUUCAAGAAUGAGGCAAUGUCCGUUAAUUGGAUACCUCCAUUUUCUACAGAUUGAAUUUACUGAGUGCGGAUUUUAUAUCGUUAAAAAUAUCAUUUGGUGGAUUUGGGAGAACUGUUGGUACAUAAACUAAUUAGGGAGUGCAAACGUUUUCAACACUGCGUUUUUCCGAUUAGUGUACGUUUACGGUGUUGCCAAGAUUUCAAGCAGUAUUUUAAUUUCGGUUAUUUAGGCAGUAUGUUUUUCGAACUGUUUCAUUUAUAUUAUUUGUAAAUGUAUUUCUGUAAUGUAACGGUUUAUAACAUAUCGUUAAUCAUUUAUUCUUAUGAGUUUAUUCUUAUGAUGGAAAUUAAUAAGGAUAAUGGGUAUAUUUCAGUAAUAUGUAUAUGCAAUGUUAAGAUGAAUUUUGUGUGUAAUGUAACUGUUCAUAACAUAUCGUUUAUCGUUUAUUCUUAUGAGUUUAUUCUUAUGAUGGAAAUUAAAAGGAAUAAUAUGUAUAUUUCAAUAAUAUGUAUAUGCAAUGUUAAGAUAAAGUUUGAGAAUUUAAUAAUACAUCUUGGGAAGUAUUUGCAUAAACUAAGACCUGAUUUAAGAUUUAUUUCAAGUAAGAACGCAAAUACGUUUACACCCAGGAUGGGGUAUAAUUGGAAUCAAUAAAAUGAAAAGUCAGACCUGAUUUAAGAUAUAAUCCAAAUAAAAACACAAAUACGUUUACACCCAGGGUGGGAUAAUUGGGAUUAAUAAAUUGGAAAGUCAAUCAGACAAAAGAAUCAAAGGUCAUAUACUUAACAAUGAGUCCAGAGUCAGCAUAUAGAUACGAGAUUUUAAGUAACACGCAUGGUCAACAAACAGCACAGAUGAAAGGGUCACCUAUUGUCUGGGAUACAAAAGUUAAGGUACUAACGAAUGUAAAGGAAUUACUCUAUACCAAUAUAAAUUGAUUAGUACCAAUAUAAAUUGAUUAGAUUUUAAUAUAUUCGCCAAGCAAGUAAAUACAUGAAAAAGUGUUCCUUCUAGAAUAUUCUGACUAAUCAACCAAUGAAUAAUAACCAUACUAGCUGAGGACCAAUCAAAAUCUUAAAAGAAAAUAUAUGCAAAUUAAUUUAGAGACAAAAUGGGGAUGUUUAGAAGGAAAGCGGCACUCCGCGGUUAGGUUAGAAAGAUACUACAGCUAGACUUAGAAAAUAAUGUUUAGACUAUAAAUACAAUUUUGAUGUUAGGAAAUAGUUAGAAAAAUAAAAGAAAUAAUUUUGAGAA
This is a long non-coding RNA of Dreissena polymorpha, 1816 nucleotides long. RefSeq lists it as uncharacterized. The transcript is spliced from 2 exons. Lineage: Eukaryota; Metazoa; Mollusca; Bivalvia; Myida; Dreissenidae. The record is from RefSeq and is a predicted model, not a curated record.